RNAcentral lists this ribosomal RNA (407 nucleotides) under uncultured bacterium. RNAcentral's name for it is "partial 16S ribosomal RNA". It matches the Rfam family "Bacterial small subunit ribosomal RNA", at positions 30 to 526 of the family's 1533-position model. The record is from RNAcentral.
AUUGAACGCUGGCGGCAGGCCUAACACAUGCAAGUCGAGCGGAGCGGCGGACGGGUGAGUAAUGCCUAGGAAUCUGCCUGGUAGUGGGGGAUAACGUCCGGAAACGGGCGCUAAUACCGCAUACUAUCAGAUGAGCCUAGGUCGGAUUAGCUAGUGGGUGGGGUAAAGGCCUACCAAGGCGACGAUCAGUAACUGGUCUGAGAGGAUGAUCAGUCACACUGGAACUGGUAAACGGUCCAGACUCCUACGGUAGGCAGUGGUGGGGAAUAUUGUACAAUGGGCGAAAGCCUGAUCCAGUCAGGCCGCGUGUGUGAAGAAGGUCUGCGGAUUUGAAAGCUCUUUAAGUUGGGAGGCGUUACCAACAGAAUAAGCACCGGCUAACUUCGUGCCAGCAGCCGCGGUAAUUC